UGAAGACACUAAUGGUGUGAACCUACAUUGUGUACAUCCAGAGACUUGAAAAUUUCGUGCUCUCUAUAUGUAAUUAGAAUUGAGUUGCAUUCUGCCAUCAUAUAUAACAAAUUAGGAUAAAUAAAGAAUUAAGAAAAAAAGGCCAAAAGCAUCUGAAAAUUUCAUUAAGCCUUCUGACAGGCAUGAAAAGCAUAUAUAUUUUAUUAUAAAUUCUUUUUCUUUUUCUUUCUUUGUAUAUUGGAACAUUAUUAAUAUCAAAAAUUGUAAAAUAUGUUUAGUAUUGUCUUUAGAUAUAGUCAAGCAGGAUCAUUGCCCCUUGAAAAUAUCUAAAUCUCCUUUUUGUGGCUAGAAAAUCCUGGGGCCUGUGAUUUUAUCCCAGAAAUGUACUCUAACAUGAGACCAGGACUUGUGUUGCCCCCAGUCUCUGUUUCCACCACUGGCCUGCUAUUCUACUUCCUAAUUCUCAUCUGAGGUAUAGACAUGCCCCAAAGUAUGGUUAUUGAAUCUGCAUCUACAAAUUGUCUCAGAGCUGUCGCAGAGCCUCAGUUCAAGGUGGGCUGCCUGGUUGGUUGGUACUUAUUUUUUACAGAAUCAAAUGAUGAUGGGACACUAAAAGGUACUUACCUCUUGAUUUUAGGUGCAAUAAAUGCUUUUAAUGAAAAGGGAGCAACACUCAAAAUAAUUAUUUUCUCAGGGCUUUGCACCCUAUAAGGGAAGCCAAGGAAAUUCUUAAAUAAUUUUCAGAAUAGUAAAAUGGGGUUUAAAUUUUUUGUGAUAAGAAGUAAAUGUUGAUUCUGGUAGGUUUGAGGAUCACUGUAUCUGACUAAGCAUAGGAAGGCAUUUCUUCUUACCUCUGCAAUAUUACUUGAGAUCAUAGGAAAAGUCAGAUGGAGGGAAGAAGUUUCUGAGUGUAAAGUAUUUAAGGAGCAUAUAAUCACUGCUCUUUUCUUUUUGUCAGGAAUUCUAGCAACUCUUUUUGUGAAUGGAAUCCUGUCUUGGAAAUUGACAAAGCACUCCCUACUAGGGACAACAUUGGCAUCUGCCAUUAGAAUCUAAUUUUGUGUUUGAGCAUCCCUAUGUCCAAAAUGUAAUUUGAAUUAACAAAAUAUGCCUUGAAGCAACAGGGAGAGAAAAGCAAUCCAAUCUCCCUAAGAUAAAUCUUGAAGAGUUAAAAAACAAAAAGAAACAAAUAAUAAAACCACAGUAUCAAAUAAUUCCACGUGCAAAAUAUUUCUAAGGUCUCUGCAAUUUUGGUAAAGAGGAAUGAAACACUGUGUAUUUACUCAUUAAGGAUGGAUUAUAAAUUA
This 1307-nucleotide long non-coding RNA is filed under the name Marmota monax (woodchuck). The record is from RNAcentral. Lineage: Eukaryota; Metazoa; Chordata; Mammalia; Rodentia; Sciuridae.